GUGAGGAAUAUUGGUCAAUGGGCGCAAGCCUGAACCAGCCAUGCCGCGUGCAGGAAGACGGUCCUAUGGAUUGUAAACUGCUUUUAUUUGGGAAUAAACUCCGGUACGUGUACCGGCCUGAAGGUACCAAAUGAAUAAGCACCGGCUAACUCCGUGCCAGCAGCCGCGGUAAUACGGAGGGUGCAAGCGUUAUCCGGAAUCAUUGGGUUUAAAGGGUCCGCAGGCGGUCUUAUAAGUCAGUGGUGAAAGCCUACAGCUCAACUGUAGAACUGCCAUUGAUACUGUAGGACUUGAAUUCGAUCGAAGUGGGCGGAAUGUGACAUGUAGCGGUGAAAUGCUUAGAUAUGUCACGGAACACCGAUAGCGAAGGCAGCUCACUAGGUCUGGAUUGACGCUCAGGGACGAAAGCGUGGGGAGCAAACAGGAUUAGAAACCCCUGUAGUCC
This 445-nucleotide ribosomal RNA is filed under the name uncultured bacterium. Its description in RNAcentral is "partial 16S ribosomal RNA". It matches the Rfam family "Bacterial small subunit ribosomal RNA", at positions 354 to 796 of the family's 1533-position model. The record is from RNAcentral.